UCGUAUCUCUGACGGGGCGGGUCGGCCCUGCUCGGACCCGAAAGGGCCUUUGCAGCGGGCUGCCCGUCACGCUCAACCUUCACAAACCCCCUGUGCACCUUCACGGCGGAGGGUGGUGGCGAGAGCCCCUGCCCGAUGCCGCAUACACAAACCCUAGUUUAACAGUAUGAUCAGUGGCCUCUGUGCCGCCUAAACAUAA
RNAcentral lists this unclassified non-coding RNA (199 nucleotides) under uncultured fungus. Its description in RNAcentral is "sequence contains ITS1, 5.8S rRNA gene". The record is from RNAcentral. Lineage: Eukaryota; Fungi.